Molecule: long non-coding RNA, 398 nt
Filed under: Mytilus galloprovincialis (Mediterranean mussel)
Lineage: Eukaryota; Metazoa; Mollusca; Bivalvia; Mytilida; Mytilidae
Source: RNAcentral
UGAUUUUUAUAGUUCGUUCUUAUGUUGUACUGUUAUACCACUGUCCCAGGUUAGGGGGAGGUUUGGGAUCCCGCUAACAUGUUUAACCCCGCCACAUUAUUUAUAUAUGUGCCUGUCACAAGCCAGGAGCCUGUAAUUUAGUGGUUGUCGUUUGUUUAUGUGUUACAUAUUUGUUUUUCGUUCAUUUUUUUUUUUACAUAAAUAAGGCCGUUAGUUUUCUCGUUUGAAUUGUUUUACAUUGUCUUAUUGGGGCCUUUUAUAGCUGACUAUGCGGUAUGGGCUUUGCUCAUUGUUGAAGGCCGUACGGCGACCUAUAGUUGUUAAUGUCUGUGUCAUUUUGGUCUUUUGUGGAUAGUUGUCUCAUUGGCAAUCAUACCAUAUCUUCUUUUUUUAUAUUU